This 109-nucleotide small nuclear RNA is filed under the name Dasypus novemcinctus (nine-banded armadillo). Lineage: Eukaryota; Metazoa; Chordata; Mammalia; Cingulata; Dasypodidae. The record is from RNAcentral.
GGUGAUUGCUUUGGCGACACCAUAUACUAAAAUUGGAAUGACGCCGAGAAGAUUGGCAUGGGCCCUGUGCAAGGAUGAUAUGCAAAUUUGUGAAGUGUUCCGUAUUUUU